GUACCGUGAGGGAAAGGUGAAAAGAACCCCGGGAGGGGAGUGAAAAGAACAUGAAACCAUAAACUUACAAGCAGCAGGAGGACGACUAAAACGUCUGACUGCGUUCCUGUUGAAGAAUGAGCCGGCGACUUAUAGUUAGUGGCAGGUUAAAGUAGUGAAUACUGAAGCCAUAGUGAAAGCGAGCCUGAAUAGGGCGCAUAUAUGUCACUAAUUAUAGACCCGAACCUGGAUGAUCUAACCAUGGCCAGGUUGAAACUUAGGUAAUACUAAUUGGAGGACCGAACCGACUGAUGUUGAAAAAUCAGCGGAUGAGUUGUGGUUAGGGGUGAAAUGCCAAUCGAAUUCAGAGCUAGCUGGUUCUCCCCGAAAUGCGUUUAGGCGCAGCGGUAAGUAUUAUAAUUUAGGGGUAAAGCACUGUUACGUAUGCGGGCUGGUAAUUCGGUACCAAAUCGUUGCAAACUAAGAAUACUAAAUGAACAAUUUACCAGUAAGACUGUGGGGGAUAAGCUCCAUUGUCAAGAGGGAAACAGCCCAGAGCACCAGUUAAGGCCCCAAAAUAAUUACUAAGUGGUAAAGGAGGUGGGAGUGCAUAGACAAUCAGGAAGUUUGCUUAGAAGCAGCAAUCUUUUAAAGAGUGCGUAAUAGCUCACUGAUCGAGUAAGCCUGCGCCGAAAAUGAAUGGGACUAAGUAAUUUGCCGAAACUGUGCGAUAUAUUUUGUUAUAUCGGUAGGGGAGCGUUCUGUUGUAGGUAGAAGUAUUAGCGGAAGCGGGUAUGGACGAAGCAGAAGUGAGAAUGUCGGCUUGAGUAACGAAAAUAUAGGUGAGAAUCCUAUACCCCGAAAACCCAAGGUUUCCUCCGGAAGGCUCGUCCGCGGAGGGUAAGUCAGGGCCUAAGGCGAGGCUGAAAAGCGUAGUCGAUGGAUAACGGGUUAAUAUUCCCGUACCGUUUUUUAUUGAUAUCGAGGGACGGAGAAGGCUAAGCUAACCAGAUAUUGGUUACUGGUUUAAACGUUCAAGAUGUUGAGAAGUGGAGAAAACACUUUGAGUUGAGACGUGAUGACGAAACGCUAAGGCGUUGAAGUAGUGUAUGUCAAACUUCCAAGAAAAGCUCGGAAUAUUAUAAAUAAAAAAUGCCUGUACCAUAACCGACACAGGUGGGUAGGUAGAGAAUACUAAGGGGCGCGAGAUAACUCUCUCUAAGGAACUCGGCAAAAUAACUCCGUAACUUCGGGAGAAGGAGUGCCUUAUUUAUAAGGUUGCAAUAACAAGAUCCAAGCAACUGUUUAUCAAAAACACAGGUCUCCGCUAAGUUGUAAGACGAUGUAUGGGGGCUGACGCCUGCCCAGUGCCAGAAGGUUAAAGAAGUUGGUUAGUGUAUGCGAAGCUGAUAACUGAAGCCCUGGUGAACGGCGGCCGUAACUAUAACGGUCCUAAGGUAGCGAAAU
RNAcentral lists this ribosomal RNA (1446 nucleotides) under Aulacoseira subarctica. Its description in RNAcentral is "partial Bacterial large subunit ribosomal RNA". It matches the Rfam family "Bacterial large subunit ribosomal RNA", at positions 498 to 1965 of the family's 2925-position model. Lineage: Eukaryota; Bacillariophyta; Melosirophyceae; Melosirales; Aulacoseiraceae. The record is from RNAcentral.